This is a non-coding RNA of Bimuria novae-zelandiae CBS 107.79, 97 nucleotides long. NCBI's taxonomy places the organism in Eukaryota, Fungi, Ascomycota, Dothideomycetes, Pleosporales, Didymosphaeriaceae. The record is from the annotation of a GenBank genome assembly.
GGCAACGUGGCGGAGUGGUUAUCGCGCAGCACUCGAAUCUUCUUAGACUCGCUAUGCUGUUCCUUCGGGAGCGCAUGUUCGAAUCAUGCCGUUGUCG